GUGCAGCAGGCGAGAAACCUCCGCAAUGCGGGAAACCGCGACGGGGGACCCCGAGUGCCGUGGCAACGCCACGGCUUUUCCGGAGUGUAAAAAGCUCCGGGAAUAAGGGCUGGGCAAGGCCGGUGGCAGCCGCCGCGGUAAUACCGGCGGCCCGAGUGGUGGCCGCUAUUAUUGGGCCUAAAGCGUCCGUAGCCGGGCCCGUAAGUCCCUGGCGAAAUCCCACGGCUCAACCGUGGGGCUUGCUUGGGAUACUGCGGGUCUUGGGACCGGGAGAGGCGGGGGGUACCCCUGGGGUAGGGGUGAAAUCCUAUAAUCCCCAGGGGGACCGCCAGUGGCGAAGGCGCCCCGCUGGAACGGGUCCGACGGUGAGGGACGAAGGCCAGGGGAGCAAACCGGAUUAGAUACCCGCGUAGU
This 414-nucleotide ribosomal RNA is filed under the name uncultured microorganism. Its description in RNAcentral is "bacterial SSU rRNA". It matches the Rfam family "Archaeal small subunit ribosomal RNA", at positions 330 to 745 of the family's 1478-position model. The record is from RNAcentral.